CAUAUAUUUGAUUUGAUGCGUUUGUAAUAUUCUUUAUUUAUAUAAUUUUCUUUUUAUUCUUGUACUAGAGCCUAUUAAAAAGGAUUAGAACAUUGUAAUACAUGAAUUAGAAAUGAAUUAAUGAGUCAUGUUCUUUUUUCACCUUAUGUGUGAGUAGUGAGACGCCACAAUUAUAUUUCUAAUGGUAUGAUUGAGGUGUGAAACUUUUAUUCUAGGAGUUCACUUCUUGAGCCAAAGUGAGUCGGAUAAUUAUCCUGUAAUAUUUCUCAAUUAUCUUUUAGUUACUAUCUUUUAUUUCUCUCUUUUUGGUUCGCCUAUCAUCAAAAGAAAUCCGUUGCUACUAGUCCUACAUCCGAUUGGUAUCAAAGCUUUUAGUUUAACCUAGAUGUUCUAUCUUCAAGGCUGAUCUAUAUCUCAAUUAUAUGAACCUAGAAUGAGUUCCUACGCAGUAGAAGCAAACAAUGUGGAACCAAUGAGUUUAUCUUUCAUUUAAAUAAAUUUAAUUAGUUUAGUGAUAUUUCUCAUAUGUAAUAAAUUGUCAUAUAUCGACAUCUACUUAACAAGAAGAAAAGGGAAGCAAAUGCACACAAAAAAAAAGGGGGCAGAAAUCAGAUUAUUUUUUUCAUUGAAGAUUAUGAAUCUAGAUUGAAGAUUAUGAAUCUAGAUUGAAGAUUCAUAUCAAUCAAGACAAAGCUAAGAAAAUCUAUCAAUCAAUUAUAUCAUCAAGAAAGAAAAAAUAUUUCUCAAAUAAAAUCAGAAAUAUUACCUUCUUCAAAGGAAAGAUGGCAUCAUAUAUUUGAUUUGAUGUGAUUGUAAUAUUUUUUAUUUCUAUAAUUUCCUUUUUAUUAUUGUACUUAGAGCAUAGAAAAAGAGACUAUAGUAUUGUGAUGCAUAAAUUAAAGAUGAAUCAAUGAAUCUUGUUCUUUUCCCACCUUAUGUAAUGAGUGAUAUAAGGCCACAAUUAUGUUUCCAAUGGUAUGA
RNAcentral lists this long non-coding RNA (981 nucleotides) under Musa acuminata (dwarf banana). RNAcentral describes it as "long non-coding RNA (MACU_LNC007946)". Lineage: Eukaryota; Viridiplantae; Streptophyta; Magnoliopsida; Zingiberales; Musaceae. The record is from RNAcentral.